RNAcentral lists this ribosomal RNA (504 nucleotides) under uncultured bacterium. Its description in RNAcentral is "bacterial SSU rRNA". It matches the Rfam family "Bacterial small subunit ribosomal RNA", at positions 8 to 507 of the family's 1533-position model. The record is from RNAcentral.
AGAGUUUGAUCAUGGCUCAGGAUGAACGCUAGCGGCAGGCUUAAUACAUGCAAGUCGAGGGGCAGCACGGGUAGCAAUACCUGGUGGCGACCGGCAAACGGGUGCGGAACACGUACGCAACCUUCCCAUAACUGGUGAAUAGCCUUCCGAAAGGGAGAUUAAUACACCGUAACAUAACGAAAAGGCAUCUUUUGUUAUUAUAGGCUUCGGCCGGUUUUGGAUGGGCGUGCGCCUGAUUAGGUAGUUGGGCGGGGUAACGGCCCACCAAGCCUGCGAUCAGUAACUGGUGUGAGAGCACGACCAGUCACACGGGCACUGAGACACGGGCCCGACUCCUACGGGAGGCAGCAGUAAGGAAUAUUGGUCAAUGGACGAAAGUCUGAACCAGCCAUGCCGCGUGAAGGAUUAAGGCCCUCUGGGUUGUAAACUUCUUUAUCUGGGACGAAAAAGGGCUUUCUAGCUCACUUGACGGUACCAGAGGAAUAAGCACCGGCUAACUCCGUG